Molecule: small RNA, 7756 nt
Filed under: Pan troglodytes (chimpanzee)
Lineage: Eukaryota; Metazoa; Chordata; Mammalia; Primates; Hominidae
Description: processed transcript
Source: RNAcentral
GUUAACAAAAGGAUUAAUGGGUUGCUUAAAUUAGUGAGCUUCAUCAGUUUUAUUUUUAAUUCCUUGAGAUAAUGAAUUUUAAAAGCAAUAAAUACAAUGCUGUAGUUUUUGACUUCUUUUCUAAAUAUUUACAUGGAUUUACAUGAAAGAACUAAAGAGAUAGUAUUUGUGGAACCAGUUUAAACUCUUACAUGCCUUUCAGGAUUUGGGAAUGUAUUAACACCUGCUGCUUUGUAUCCAGUCUAAGGGAGCCUAUUUGUUUGUUAUCACAUUGACUUCCUUUGAUGUCUUUUAGUGUUACCCUCACUCAGACCCAAGGAUUAUGUCUUUUGGGGCUCCCAUCAUCCUGAGCUAGAGACACGUGACAGGGGUACACUCUCCUACAAAACCAGCCAGUUACUCAGUAAAGUGGACGAUAGAAGAAAAAGAGCUGUUUGAACAAGGGCUGGCUAAAUUUGGCCGAAGAUGGACCAAAAUUUCAAAGCUAAUUGGAAGCCGCACUGUUUUACAAGUGAAGAGUUAUGCAAGACAGUAUUUUAAAAAUAAGGUCAAAUGCGGUCUGGAUAAAGAAACACCAAAUCAGAAGACUGGCCAUAAUCUUCAAGUUAAAAAUGAAGAUAAAGGGACAAAGGCAUGGACACCAUCAUGUUUAAGGGGACGUGCUGAUCCCAACUUGAAUGCUGUAAAAAUUGAAAAGUUAUCUGAUGAUGAAGAAGUAGACAUCACAGAUGAGGUGGAUGAGUUGUCUUCUCAAACACCCCAGAAGAAUUCUAGCAGUGAUCUCUUGUUAGACUUUCCUAAUAGUAAAAUUCAUGAAACCAAUCAAGGAGAAUUCAUUGCUUCUGACAGCCAGGAAGCUCUCUUUUCUAAGUCUUCCAGGGAUUGUCUUCAAAAUGAAAAGCAAGAUGAAACACUUUCAAGCUCAGAAAUUACACUGUGGACUGAGAAACAGAGCAAUGGUGACAAAAAAUCAAUUGAAUUAAAUGACCAGAAAUUUAAUGAAUUGAUUAAAAACUGCAACAAGCAUGAUGGAAGGGGAAUAAUAGUUGAUGCCAGGCAGUUGCCUUCUCCAGAGCCUUGUGAAAUUCAGAAAAAUUUGAAUGAUAAUGAAAUGCUUUUUCAUUCUUGCCAAAUGGUAGAGGAAAGCCAUGAGGAAGAAGAGCUUAAGCCACCAGAACAGGAAAUAGAAAUAGAUAGAAAUAUUAUUCAAGAAGAAGAAAAACAAGCAAUUCCUGAGUUUUUUGAGGGGCGCCAAGCUAAAACACCAGAACGCUAUUUGAAAAUUAGAAAUUAUAUUUUGGAUCAAUGGGAGAUAUGCAAACCGAAAUACUUAAAUAAGACCUCAGUACGUCCUGGCCUGAAGAACUGUGGAGACGUUAAUUGUAUUGGACGGAUUCAUACAUACCUCGAAUUGAUAGGAGCAAUCAAUUUUGGAUGUGAACAGGCUGUGUAUAAUAGGCCACAAACAGUUGACAAAGUACGAAUCAGAGACAGAAAAGAUGCAGUAGAAGCAUACCAACUUGCCCAGCGUCUGCAGUCUAUGCGUACAAGGAGACGUAGGGUCCGAGACCCAUGGGGAAACUGGUGUGAUGCAAAGGACUUAGAAGGACAAACGUUUGAGCAUCUCUCUGCUGAGGAGUUGGCAAAAAGAAGAGAAGAGGAAAAAGGCAGACCUGUUAAAUCUUUAAAAGUGCCAAGACCAACAAAAAGCUCGUUUGAUCCCUUCCAACUGAUACCUUGUAAUUUUUUUAGUGAAGAAAAGCAGGAGCCAUUUCAGGUGAAAGUGGCUUCAGAAGCACUUUUAAUAAUGGAUUUGCAUGCUCAUGUUUCUAUGGCAGAAGUGAUUGGUCUGUUAGGAGGAAGAUACUCAGAAGUUGAUAAAGUAGUUGAAGUCUGUGCAGCAGAACCAUGUAACAGUCUGAGUACAGGACUACAGUGUGAGAUGGAUCCUGUAUCACAAACACAGGCCUCAGAAACCUUGGCUGUUAGAGGCUUCAGUGUUAUUGGAUGGUAUCAUUCUCAUCCUGCUUUUGAUCCUAAUCCUUCCUUACGAGAUAUUGACACACAAGCUAAAUACCAGAGUUACUUCUCCAGAGGAGGUGCAAAGUUCAUUGGGAUGAUUGUUAGUCCCUAUAAUCGAAAUAAUCCCUUACCAUAUUCUCAGAUUACCUGCCUGGUUAUAAGUGAGGAAAUUAGCCCAGAUGGCUCUUAUCGCUUACCUUACAAAUUUGAAGUACAGCAGAUGUUAGAAGAACCUCAGUGGGGAUUAGUAUUUGAAAAGACAAGAUGGAUAAUAGAAAAAUACAGGCUCUCCCAUAGCAGCGUCCCCAUGGAUAAAAUCUUUCGCCGGGAUUCUGACCUGACUUGUUUGCAGAAACUUUUGGAGUGUAUGAGGAAGACUCUGAGCAAAGUGACCAAUUGCUUUAUGGCUGAAGAAUUCUUGACUGAAAUAGAAAAUUUGUUCCUUUCCAAUUAUAAAAGCAACCAAGAGAAUGGAGUAACCGAAGAGAACUGUACAAAGGAAUUGUUAAUGUGAUUAUUUUAAAGUUAAGACUUUUAAUCUUGACACAGUAGAUCUUACUUUCAAAGUUAUAAACUUAAAGUGAUUGUAGUUAACAUUGGCACAGCUUUGGUAUUUUUUCUCUAUUUCACAAAAUCCAAACUUUGCCACAUAAAUCAUGUGAAAAGGAAGAGAUACAGAUUUGUUUUCAUACAGUGUUUAUCAGAGUGUUCUGCAAACCAGGGUCCACCACGGUGUUCUAGUCCUUUACUGAGCAAUGCUGUAGGCUGUGAAACUUAGCAACCUGGUCGGCUUUACUGUUGUGUUCAGCUUGGGAUUUGGACUAUGUCUCUAAGUCAUUUCUUCCCUGAACUAGUCAUUUAUGUUCCAUUGUGGUAUCUCAUAUUUCAUUUAAAAGCACUUCCAUUCUUUCCAUAUGUUCUGCUGAGAUUUGUUUAUGGCUAUAAAUGAGAUAUGGAUGGGUGGUCACUGAGAUAAUUAAUAUGGUUUAGAACUACUGAUUAGUAAAUCUAACAGGAGGCCAGGAGAGGCAUGACAAGAAAAUCUUAAAAACAGGAAAAACCCAAAGGAGAGAACUAAAUUACCAGUUUCUAAUCAUAGAUACUAGCUUCCAUUUCAUUGUAUAGCAACAGUAUCAUAAGAUAUGCCAUUUUCUCAGCUAUCUGAAAAUUUUUAACCAAUUUUACACACAUAAAAUAAUUAGCUUCAAUUGUGAGUCCACUUACAUUAGUAGGUGUGAUAAAACCUCAUUUAACUGGAACGUAGGUAAUCAUAACUCAAACUUUUUUUCUACUGCCUACUACUAGGAGAAAGAGGCAAAUGAUAAUAAAGCUGGAAUAAAUCAGAGAUUUAAUUUUUAAAACAAGCCUUUCAGGACAUAUUACAUAUUCAGCCCAGUUUCAUAUGCUUUCUGAAUCUAUAAUGGAGGUCAGUGAACUUUUUUAAUGUAAAGGGCCAGUUUGUAAAUAAUUUUGGCUUUUCAGGCCACAUAUGAUGUCUAUGAGACAUUCUUCUUUGUGUGUGUUUUUUACAGCCCUUUAAAACGUUAAAAACCAUUGUUAACUCACAGGCCUCAUAAAACAUAGGCUGUUGGCUAUUAUUCUCCAACCCCUGAUCUAGAGAAUUUUAAACAUUAGAAUUUUGUUUUACAUUUGUUAAGCUUUACGUCGUCUUCAAAUGACACCAAAACUCAGAAUUAUGAUCUGCAUUUAAGCCAAUUUUAAAAUAAAAUAAGCAGUCAUGCUGCCUCAUUUAUUGAAAUUCAGUAGAUUUUAGUUUAUUUCUUAGUAGUCAGAGAAUUGAUUUAUACCUAUUCACCAAACAUUCUUACUAAUGUUCCCUUAUAUCUAAAUCAGAUUGAUUCUAUAUUUUGCUUUGUUUGUAAUCAGUAGCCAAUGAAGAAUAAGGAGUAUUGGAAGAAGCAGUGAGCCAGCUUUAGGUGACCUGGUUCUUGUCUCAACUUUGUGAUUUGGGGAGAUAUAGUUUACUUUCCCUGAGCCUUAAUUCUUGUGUAACUAAAGUCUAACUUAACUUCUUAAUGUCCUUCCAGAACUAAAAUUUUAUUGUUCAUUCUAAUCGUUGGACUACUCAUGUGAAGUUUAUAUUCUGAGUUAAUACAGUUUCCAAAUUAACAUACAUUUUUAAAAAAAGGGUAGUAUUUUUCCAUUUCUCUGUGUGGACUUAGGAUAAACAAUGAAGUAUAGCUUAUAAAACAAUUAGUUUGAGGGCUGAGCGUGUAAGAGGAACUAUACCAAAAGUCAGGAAACCUGAGCUCUUACCCUAACUCUGUUACCAACUUUGCUGUGUGACCUUAAUCAAAACACAUAACCUGGACCCCAUGCUCCUCACCAGUAAAUCAAGGGCCUGAAUUUUAUGGCUUAGUAUUCCCUUCCAAGCUCCGAAGUUGCGUGAUUCUGUGAAAGGCAGUGAUUGAUUCCUUUGUACUCAUCUUCCUUUUGACCUGUUUCCUCAUGAUAUAUUGGGGAACAAAUACUAAAAAGUGUUUUAUACUAGCUUUCUUGAUUGACAUUUCCCUAUAAUACUGAUGAAUUUGGGUGAUGGAAAGUAAUGGAAAUUGUUAAAAGUUCUGCUCUCAAAUCUGAGUCUCCUUGCCCUGUGUGCCAAUGUUUAACCAUAUUUGCUAAUCUAAGCCAUAUUGUGAGCAUCUCAAGGAUGAUACUUGUCAAGAGUUUGGGGCCUUGAGAGCACAGUUUUCAAAAUAAUACUUAAUAUUUUCUGACUAUAGAGUACAUUUGUCUUGUAAAGUAUAUUUUAAAAUACAGAGAAGUGUGAAGUACAAAUAUCUCAGUGCUACUAUUUAAAAAAACACAAUUAGUAUAUAAAUCCUUCCCCAUUUUUUUGACAGUAUAAUUUUAGUUUUUUAAACUUGGUUACUUCUUUCUCUCUUCCUCCAUCAUUUUCCCUGCUUCCUUUUUCUUUUGUCAUAUUCUUAAAACAAUUUUGCAACCACAGGUACCCACAUUGCUGGCACUACCAGCCUUAGGCUACUACCGAGGUUAAUGGAGCCAGGGCCUUGUAGAAGCACAGAGGAAGUCUAUAACUGAGGGGGCCUAUGAUACAGGAAGUUCAGGAGGCAGAGUCUCAAAGGAACACCUGCCUUUAAUAAUGUUUACAGAAGUGGAGAAAGGACUAAAGGACUUAAAGACAUGCAGGUGUCUUCAUCCUGAUUCUGUCUUUGUUAUUGCACAAUGACUAUAAAAUAAUGACCUAAUUUUUUUUUUUUCUGGCUUGGCUAAUGGAAAUCGACACUAGCGCUUCCCCAAUAUUAGACUUAAUCUAAUUCCAAAGUAACAUUCAAGAAAAGAAAAACCAGUGGAACAGGAUCAGUAAGCUCAGACUCUCCAUCUCCGUUAUUUUAGCCUUGACCAUUCUUCUCUAAUCCUUUUAAAUUAUCUUCAGUUUCCAGUUCAAGUUAUAUUGCUUCAGUUACAGUUUGUUUGACCCUGUAUUCAGAACUGCAUUAUGAUUCUUGUGGGCCCUAGAUAGUUUUGCCAUCUUAGACCCCUUCUUCCAUACAAAAUUAAAAGUGAUAUUUUACAAUUGUAUCUGUAUGAAAUGAAUGUAUUAAUAUUUUAGAUUAAAACAUUUUGUUUAGAAGUUCAGUUUUUUCUUAUGAGGCUAAAAAAAAUUAAAACAUUUUUGUGGGCUUCUAAAAAACUGUGGGCCUUAGGUACUGUGCCUAAUGGAUAAGUUGGCAUUGACUGUAUUCUGAAGGGCAUCAUUGGAAAAAUAGCAGUCAUUAUUCUGUCCCCUUCUCCCACCACCACAGUCCUUGCAGAAGUCUUUGCCACUCCAUCCAAGAGCACCGCAGUUUCCACGGUUAUAGAUCUAUAGACUUGAACUUACUUCCUUCCCAACCUAACCAAACUCACAAGGAUUACUUGGGACCAUUCAUCCUCAAAAAAGAUAGGAGGCAGUGGUUUGUUUUAGUCUUCAGAUAUUUUUGUUCUGGUCAGUCCCUAAUCUGUAGUUUUGAAACUCGUGCCACACUUGAAAGGGAAACAUCCUACUACCUUUCUUUCCUCUCCAUUUCCCACAAACCCUUUCCUUCAUCAUCACUCCCUGCAUUCUUACUUCUCAGCAUAUAGAUACAAGACCCUUCUUUCUAUUAUUUAUUGAAAGCUAGGCCUGUAAAAUAGAGAUGGACAGACCAUGCAUGUUUCCAUGAAGCUAUUUAAUGCUGCUCCCAGUCUUCUGUCCAUACCAUUCCUUCCCUGCCCCUAGGAGUGGGGUUGAGGUCUGUGACAUGCAGACUGAAAGCACAGUCAGAACCUCUGCAGCUCUCAACCCAACAGAGGAGACUGUGGCUUCAACAUGCCAACCUGAGCAGGUCUCCUCUGCAUUACGUUCCUCCCAUUUCUCUUGCUGGGUCCUGAUGAGGUGAGCUGGAGAAACCAAUAGUCAGGAUGCCCUGGAAUUGAUGUUGCUCUGUUUUGUGCUCACAAAACAGCCAUGUAACACAUGAGCACCUGAGUUGAAGCCAUCCAGUCGCAAGUCAGCAGACAGCAGUUGAUGGAAUUCUCAGUAGAAAUUCAGUAAGGGUGCCCAAAUUUUAUUUUUUUUUUCACCGAUACUCUACCAAUAUAUGGUAUUUAGGAAAACUUCUUUUAUCCAAGCACAAAGAAAAGCACACACAUUUUUAUAAUCAUCUGCUUCAUCAGGGUAAAUAAAUAAUUUAACAAAUUUGAUCAGCAUCUCUAGUUUACCAGUACUUUAAUAUUAGUUUUCUUACAAAUUAAUGUAUUUUGCAAUAUUUCCAGAAAAUCACUGUGGGAGAAUAAUGUAAUAUACUUUAGGAUAUAUUUCUUGACCUUUUCUUAAAUGGCUUCAUGUGCUAUUCCCCCAAAUUCUGCUUUCUCUAUUUUCUUUUUUAUCUAACCUAUAAUUAUACUUUCUAGUAUAUUCUGAGUCUAUCUUCUAAGCCACCUUACAUUUUUCCUGGAACAAGGGAGGGAAUAAAUAGUUGUCUCCACUAAAUCAGGAAAAAAUAAAAAUAUCCCAGGGGAGCUGUGAUUAUGCCAAGAGCUCUAAACAGAAGUUUGAGAAGGUAAAAAUUAAGUUAUAGUAUCUGAGUUGUUUUUAUUUUCUUCCUUUGGUGUUUAUGAAGGUAUUCAUAAGAACUUUAAUUUCAGGGGAAAAAAUGCCUGAUUUGCUAUUUUUGACAUUUCCUCGUCUCUUAAGAAGUCAGUUAAAUAUGUUUUCAUAGUUUAUAUUCCUGUUUCAUAGAUUACUGUGAAACAUGUGUUUAAACCUAUGAAUUAUAAAAUAGUAUUUAGAUUCUAGCGUGAGUUAAAUAGAUUAUUCAUGUAUCUUUAGAUUUGUGGAUUUGACAUGUAAAUUAUGUGUUGUGUAUAAGUUAGUUACUAAACAUACUGCAUGGUUAUUGAUAAACUUGUUGCUAUUUUUUUCCAAAUGCUAUCAGUGUUUGUGGACUUUUAAAAAUUAGUUUGAAUUUUGGAAUGUUCUGUAAUAAAAUAUAAUUUCAACUAUUUUGUACAUUUAAAUAUGCCAUGUUGUAUAUGUCUGUAUUUAAAAAUAUUGUAAAGAUCUGCAUUUUAAGAAUUAUGAAAGAUUUUCCUCAAAAAUGACAGAACUCUCCAUACUUAAUUGUGACACAUUAUAAGAUACCUGAUUUUAAGCUUUUGGAUUUUGUUCUAAAAAUUAAGUUUAAACAUGCUGAAAAUUCCAUAAAAAUAAAAUUUUGAAAAUAAAGUG